This 253-nucleotide ribosomal RNA is filed under the name uncultured bacterium. Its description in RNAcentral is "partial 16S ribosomal RNA". It matches the Rfam family "Bacterial small subunit ribosomal RNA", at positions 524 to 776 of the family's 1533-position model. The record is from RNAcentral.
UACAGAGACUGCAAGCGUUAUUCGGAUUCACUGGGCGUAAAGGGUGCGCAGGCGGCCAAGUGUGUGAGGCGUGAAAGCCCGGGGCUUAACCCCGGAAUUGCACCUCAAACUACAUGGCUAGAGCAUUGGAGAGGGUAGCAGAAUUCACGGUGUAGCGGUGAAAUGCGUAGAUAUUGGAAGGAACACCAGUGGCGAAGGCGACUAUCUGGGACAGUACUGACACUAAAACUCGAAAGCGUGGGUAGCAAACAGG